RNAcentral lists this long non-coding RNA (724 nucleotides) under Chrysolophus pictus (golden pheasant). RNAcentral's name for it is "lncRNA (ENSCPIG00010010771.1)". Lineage: Eukaryota; Metazoa; Chordata; Aves; Galliformes; Phasianidae. The record is from RNAcentral.
AUUUUCAGCUGAACAGAGUCUUGUUUACCUUGUGCAGGGAUUAUGCUACCAACUGAAAUGCAAAACCUUCUGUGGCAAGAGAGAAGAGGCAGUCUUGUGACUACAGCUCUGACCUGACGGACAUGCUCUCUUCAAGUAUGACUUCAUUCAGGUAGUAAGACCAAGAACUGCAUUAAAAAACAGGAAGAUUGGCCCUAGGCAGACAGAUGACAGAAAUACAACAGCGCACAAGAGCCCAGUCUCAGUUCUCACACGUAUGCUAGUUAACACUUUGAUGGCUGAGUUACAUUCUAAGCAAAUCUAAGCUGCUUAAAUAUAAAAGCCUGAUUUGGAAAGCUAUUGUCUGGAGAUUGUAUUUGCAUAACAACAAAUAGAGUCAACCUACAUUGUCCAGUGUUGAAGGAAAAAUAACCUACGGAGAAAAGGAAGGCAAUUUGCCCUGCAGUGAGUCAUCAGGCUCUGCUGAGCUGAAAGAAGACGACAUUUUUGAGGAAAAGGCUGCUGGCAUAUAUCUAUUGCAGAGGAGAAGAAACAUAUAGUGGGAAUGGUCAUACCAGGAGAAUUGUCAAAGAACUGGGGAAAAACAGCGGUGAAGAGAUAUCCAGAAAAUCAUCAUGAUUCUCUGCAAGAUCCUUGGAGGAACUCCACUACAAGAAAACAAAAAUGAGAAUGUGCCAACAUUUAGUCCAAGAAUAAAUCCACAGUGAUCCUUCCUAGAAGAGCA